GACGAACGCUGGCGGCGUGCUUAACACAUGCAAGUCGAACGGUAAGGCCCUUCGGGUACGACGAGUGGCGAACGGGUGAGUAACACGUGGUGAUCUGCCCUGCACUUCGGGAUAAGCCUGGGAAACUGGGUCUAAUACCGGAUAGGACCAUGGACUUCACGGUUUGUGGUGGAAAGCUUUUGCGGUGUGGGAUGGGCCCGCGGCCUAUCAGCUUUGUUGGUGGGGUAAUGGCCUACCCAAGGCGACGACGGGUAGCCGGCCUGAGAGGGUGUCCGGCCACACUGGGACUGAGAUACGGCCCAGACUCCUACGGGAGGCAGCAGUGGGGAAUAUUGCACAAUGGGCGCAAGCCUUGAUGCAGCGACGCCGCG
RNAcentral lists this ribosomal RNA (371 nucleotides) under uncultured bacterium. RNAcentral's name for it is "bacterial SSU rRNA". It matches the Rfam family "Bacterial small subunit ribosomal RNA", at positions 28 to 401 of the family's 1533-position model. The record is from RNAcentral.